UUCGUCCUACGGGGGGCAGCAGUGGGGAAUAUUGCACAAUGGGCGAAAGCCUGAUGCAGCAACGCCGCGUGAAGGAAGAAGGCCUUCGGGUCGUAAACUUCUGUCCUUGGGGAAGAAGAACUGACGGUACCCAAGGAGGAAGCCCCGGCUAACUACGUGCCAGCAGCCGCGGUAAUACGUCGGGGGCAAGCGUUAUCCGGAAUUAUUGGGCGUAAAGAGUACGUAGGUGGCAACCUAAGCGCAGGGUUUAAGGCAAUGGCUCAACCAUUGUGCGCCCUCCGCACUGGGCUGCUUGAGCGCAGGAG
RNAcentral lists this ribosomal RNA (305 nucleotides) under uncultured bacterium. Its description in RNAcentral is "bacterial SSU rRNA". It matches the Rfam family "Bacterial small subunit ribosomal RNA", at positions 333 to 654 of the family's 1533-position model. The record is from RNAcentral.